RNAcentral lists this ribosomal RNA (497 nucleotides) under uncultured bacterium. Its description in RNAcentral is "partial 16S ribosomal RNA". It matches the Rfam family "Bacterial small subunit ribosomal RNA", at positions 28 to 507 of the family's 1533-position model. The record is from RNAcentral.
GAUGAACGCUGGCGGCGUGCCUAAUACAUGCAAGUCGAGCGAACAGACGAGGAGCUUGCUCCUCUGACGUUAGCGGCGGACGGGUGAGUAACACGUGGAUAACCUACCUAUAAGACUGGGAUAACUUCGGGAAACCGGAGCUAAUACCGGAUAAUAUAUUGAACCGCAUGGUUCAAUAGUGAAAGACGGUUUUGCUGUCACUUAUAGAUGGAUCCGCGCCGCAUUAGCUAGUUGGUAAGGUAACGGCUUACCAAGGCAACGAUGCGUAGCCGACCUGAGAGGGUGAUCGGCCACACUGGAACUGAGACACGGUCCAGACUCCUACGGGAGGUAGCAGUAGGGAAUCUUCCGCAAUGGGCGAAAGCCUGGCGGAGCAACGCCGCGUGAGUGAUGAAGGUCUUCGGAUCGUAAAACUCUGUUAUUAGGGAAGAACAAAUGUGUAAGUAACUAUGCACGUCUUGACGGUACCUAAUCAGAAAGCCACGGCUAACUACGUG